UUUCCGUAGGUGAACCUGCGGAAGGAUCAUUAACGAGUUUGAAAGGGGUUGUAGCUGGCCUUCCGAGGCAUGUGCACGCCCUGCUCAUCCACUCUACACCUGUGCACUUACUGUGGGCCACGAAACGCCGUGCUUAACGCGCGGUGGGUCUGGUUCACGUCUCAUUACAAACGCUUUAGUAUCAGAAUGUAACUUGCGAUAUAACGCAUCUUAAUACAACUUUCAGCAACGGAUCUCUUGGCUCUCGCAUCGAUGAAGAACGCAGC
RNAcentral lists this unclassified non-coding RNA (266 nucleotides) under uncultured fungus. RNAcentral's name for it is "sequence contains ITS1, 5.8S rRNA gene". The stretch from base 218 to 266 matches the Rfam family "5.8S ribosomal RNA", at positions 1 to 49 of the family's 154-position model. The record is from RNAcentral. Lineage: Eukaryota; Fungi.